Molecule: ribosomal RNA, 115 nt
Organism: Otolemur garnettii (small-eared galago)
Lineage: Eukaryota; Metazoa; Chordata; Mammalia; Primates; Galagidae
Source: Ensembl
AUCUACGACCAUACCUCCCCCCACCCCCAUCUCAUCUGACCUUGGAAGUUAAGCAGGGUCAGACCUGGUUAGUACUUGGGUGGGAGGUCCAAAAGGAGCCAGGGUAUUUUUGCAU